This 108-nucleotide ribosomal RNA is filed under the name Thunbergia laurifolia. RNAcentral describes it as "partial 5.8S ribosomal RNA". It matches the Rfam family "5.8S ribosomal RNA", at positions 51 to 154 of the family's 154-position model. Rfam says of the family: 5.8S ribosomal RNA (5.8S rRNA) is a component of the large subunit of the eukaryotic ribosome. It is transcribed by RNA polymerase I as part of the 45S precursor that also contains 18S and 28S rRNA. The record is from RNAcentral. Lineage: Eukaryota; Viridiplantae; Streptophyta; Magnoliopsida; Lamiales; Acanthaceae.
UUAUGCGAUACUUGGUGUGAAUUGCAGGAUCCCGUGAACCAUCGAGUCUUUGACGCAAGUUGCGCCCGAAGCCAUUAGGCCGAGGGCACGUCUGCCUGGGCGUCACGC